Molecule: unclassified non-coding RNA, 343 nt
Filed under: uncultured fungus
Lineage: Eukaryota; Fungi
Description: partial contains 5.8S ribosomal RNA and internal transcribed spacer 2
Rfam family: 5.8S ribosomal RNA (bases 1-133)
Source: RNAcentral
UGGCUCCAGCAUCGAUGAAGAACGCAGCGAAACGCGAUAUGUAAUGUGAAUUGCAGAAUUCAGUGAAUCAUCGAAUCUUUGAACGCACAUGGCGCCUUCCAGUAUCCUGGGAGGCAUGCCUGUCCGAGCGUCGUUUCAACCCUCGAGCCCCCGUGGCCCGGCGUUGGGGAUCUGCCCAGGCAGUCCCCGAAAACCAGUGGCGGAACCGUUAUAGGCCCUUCCCUUGCGUAGUAGCAUUCGCCUCGCAUCGGAAGCCGGCGGGCUUCCAGCCUCUAAACCCCCAUCAAGUCCGCCCCGCGGCGGCACCAAGGUUGACCUCGGAUCAGGUAGGAAUACCCGCUGA